GCGAGCCGCCCGGAAUCUUUCUGCUGGGUAGUGUGUGUCUGCACGUGCCCCAGGCUGGCACCCCUCCGUCACCUCCCGGUCACUGCAGGCUGCCUCUGAGGAGGGCAGUACCUGCCCACAAAGGCCCACGGAGCCAUGGCUUCUUCCCAGUGGUGAUCCCUGAUGGGCUGGAAGGUGACCGAACCGCUUGUCCUUUAUAAGCUGGGCUUGCUGCUUGCCGUUGAGGAAGAGCUUGUCAUGGGUGUCAGCGUUUAAAAGUGGAAUUAGAGACGGGGUUUCACCGUGUUGGCCAGGAUGGUCUCCAUCUCUUGACGUCGUGAUCCACCCGCCUCGGCCUCCCAAAGUGCUGGGAUUACAGGCGUGAGCCACCGCACCCGGCCGAUAUUACAAAAUCUGGCCUCCAGAGGAACCAGCGCUGCCGACUCCUUGAUUCUAACCCACUGAGGCCUAUUUUGGAUUUCUGCACCCCAGAACUGUGGGAGAGUAAAUUGUGCUGUUGAAGCCACCACAUUUGUGGUGAUCUGUUCCAGCUGCAGUAGGAAGCUCGUAUGCUUGGCAGUUCUGAUUGUGAACUCACCUUUAUGUUGGAGAUUCCUUUACACAUAAGUCCCCUUAUCCACAGCGGACAAAUUCCAUGACCCCCAGUGGAUGCCUGAAAUCGCGGAGAGUACUGAAUCCUACAUAUAAUGUGUUCUUUCCUAUAUGUAUAUGUAUAUAUCUAUAUCUAUGAUACAGUCUAAUUUAUAAAUUAGGCACAGUGAGAGAUUAACAACAAUAACUAAUAGUAAAAUAGGACAAUGAUGACAAUAUAAUGUAAUAAAAGUUUUGUGAAUAUGGUCUCUCUUCUCUCUCAAAAUAUCUUACUGUAAAAUUAGCUGGCCAUGGUGGCGUGUGCCUGUAGUCCCAGCUACUCAGGAGUGUGAGAAGGGAGGAUCACUUAAGCCUAGGAGGUGGGGGCUGCAGUGAGCCAAAGAUUGUGCCAUUGCACACCAGCCUGGGCAACAGAGUGAGAUCCUGUUUCUAAAAACAAACAAACAAAAAACAAACUUACUGAACUUAUUGUACUGAUAUUUUUGAACCAUGGUCGACUGUGGGUAACUGAAACCAUGAAAAAGUGAAACCACUGAUAAGGGGGAUUGCUGUACUCCCUGCUGUGUCAGUGACUCAGCCUCCCUGGUGGAGGGAACGGCUGCUGGGGAACACAUUGGAAGCUGGUCUUCUGGGUCCCCAGGAGGCAACCUAUUCAUGAAAAUAAUAUGUUCAUUUUAUACAAGUUGGAAAAUAUAGAAUAAUAUAAAUAAUUUGCAUAAGACUCAUAAUCUGGUUCACAGGCAACCAUUAUAAAUAUUUGAAAAAAAUUUUUUUUUUUUUUUAGACAAGAGUUUCGCUCUUGUUGCCCAAGCUGGAGCGCAAUGGC
Molecule: long non-coding RNA, 1417 nt
Filed under: Homo sapiens (human)
Lineage: Eukaryota; Metazoa; Chordata; Mammalia; Primates; Hominidae
Description: HSALNT0049934
Source: RNAcentral